CCUGAACGCUGGCGGCGUGGCUAAGACAUGCAAGUCGCACGGACCCGCAAGGGUUAGUGGCGAACGGGUGAGUAAUGAAUCGCUAAUGUACCCCGGACUCUGGGAUAGCCGGCCGAAAGGCCGGGUAAUACCAGAUGAUAUAACCGCUCCGCAUGGAGUGGUUCUCAAAGGUCCGCCGGUCUGGGAGCAGGCGAUUUCGUAUCAGCUAGUUGGUGAGGUAACGGCUCACCAAGGCGACGACGCGUAGCCGGACUGAGAGGUUGGCCGGCCACAUUGGGACUGAGACACGGCCCAAACUCCUACGGGAGGCAGCAGUGGGGAAUAUUGGACAAUGGGCGCAAGCCUGAUCCAGCCAUGCCGCGUGAGUGAUGAAGGCCCUAGGGUUGUAAAGCUCUUUUGUGCGGGAAGAUAAUGACGGUACCGCAAGAAUAAGCCCCGGCUAACUUCGUGCCAGCAGCCG
RNAcentral lists this ribosomal RNA (460 nucleotides) under uncultured bacterium. RNAcentral describes it as "bacterial SSU rRNA". It matches the Rfam family "Bacterial small subunit ribosomal RNA", at positions 30 to 517 of the family's 1533-position model. The record is from RNAcentral.